RNAcentral lists this small RNA (161 nucleotides) under Chrysemys picta bellii (western painted turtle). RNAcentral's name for it is "TUC338 (ENSCPBG00000024839.1)". The record is from RNAcentral. Lineage: Eukaryota; Metazoa; Chordata; Testudines; Emydidae.
CUGACAGCGCCGAAUGCAGAAGUCCUCUCUUUACCCACAGAAAAGGCGCAGCACGGGCAGUGACAGUGCAAGUUUUCUCCUUGCUGCAAAGUGCAUCUGCCCUAACCCAGAGGUAACACAGGGAGUCUAUUCUCUCUGUGGCCAUCAUGGGCUUGUCUGCA